Long non-coding RNA from Etheostoma spectabile (orangethroat darter), 140 nucleotides. RefSeq lists it as uncharacterized. Lineage: Eukaryota; Metazoa; Chordata; Actinopteri; Perciformes; Percidae. The record is from RefSeq and is a predicted model, not a curated record. The transcript is spliced from 3 exons.
AGCGAAGCUGGUUGAUAAAUGAACCGUUUGUCGUAUCCGGUCGGCAAAACUCCGAACACAUCUUCCAUUUUUAAGAAUUACUUCAGUGCUGUUCUUUUGCUGUUCGCCAGCAGCAGCAGCCAUCUUCUUUGUUUUCAAGU